UGGGGGAUUAGCUCAGCUGGCUAGAGCAUCUGCCUUGCACGCAGAGGGUCAACGGUUCGAAUCCGUUAUUCUCCACUAU
RNAcentral lists this transfer RNA (79 nucleotides) under Bacteroides ovatus SD CMC 3f. Its description in RNAcentral is "tRNA-Ala". It matches the Rfam family "tRNA". Rfam says of the family: Transfer RNA (tRNA) molecules are approximately 80 nucleotides in length. Their secondary structure includes four short double-helical elements and three loops (D, anti-codon, and T loops). Lineage: Bacteria; Pseudomonadati; Bacteroidota; Bacteroidia; Bacteroidales; Bacteroidaceae. The record is from RNAcentral.